CGCUAGCGAUAGUUUAUUUAAAUUUCUACCCUAUUAACUUUUAAUAGUAAGGUAUUAGCUUACUAUAGUUUCUAUAGGUAAUAGGGAAUUAGGGUUUAAUUCUAGAAAGUUAGCCUAAGAAAUAGCUAAUAUAUCUAAGGAAGAUAGCAGGCGCGUAAAUUACCUAAUCCUAAUAUAGGGAGGUAGUAAUAAUAAAUACUAAUAUAAGGCUCUUUUAGGUCUUAUAAUUAGAAUAAGUAUAAUUUAAACCUCUUAAUAAGGAAUAAUUAGAGGGUAAGUCUAGUACUAGUAGCUAUAGUAAUUCUAACUCUAAUAGCGUAUAUUAAAGUUAUUAUAGUUAAAAAGCUUAUAGUUAAACCUUUAGCCUAGCUAGUAGGUCUACUUUACUAUAUAUACUUAUCUAGCUAGGCCUUUUCUUCUAGAGAACUAUAUACCCUUUACUAGGUAUGUUAGCGACUAGGACUUUUACUUUAAAAAAAUUAGAGUGUUUAAAGCAAGCCUUUACUUAAAUAUUAUAGUAUAGAAUAAUAAAAUAGGACGUAUAGUUCUAUUUUAUUAGUUUCUAGGACUACUAUAAUAAUUAAUAGGGAUAGUUAGAAGUAUUAGUAUUUAACUAUUAGAGGUAAAAUUCUUAGAUUUAUUAAAGACUAACUACUAUAAAAGUAUUUGCUAAGGAUAUUUUUAUUAAUUAGUAAAUAGAAGUUAGGGGAUUAAAGAUAAUUAGAUACUAUUAUAGUCUUAACUAUAAACUAUACUAACUAGGGAUUAGGUAAUAUUAUUAUUUUAACUUACUUAGUACUUUAUAAAAAAUUAAAGUAUUUAGGUUCUAGGGGGAGUAUAGUUAUAAGGCUAAAACUUAAAGAAAUUAAUAAAAGGGUACUACUAGGCGUAGAGCCUAUAGCUUAAUUUAACUUAAUAUAGGGAAACUUACUAGGUCUAGAUAAAAUAAGAAUUAAUAGAUUAAAAGCUUUUUCUUAAUUUUUUAGGUAGUAGUAUAUAGCUAUUCUUAGUUAGUAGAGUAAUUUAUCUACUUAAUUAUAAUAAUAAAUAAGACCUUAACCUACUAAAUAGCUAGGCUAGCUUUAGCUAGUUGCUAGCUUCUUAGAGGGAUUAUUAGCUUAAGCUAAUAGAAGUUUAAGGUAAUAAUAAGUCUAUAAUACCCUUAGAUAUUCUAGGCUACACACGCGCUAUACUAAUAGAGCUAAGAGUUUUUUUCCUUAUCUAAAAGGUUUAGGUAAUCUUAUUAAACUCUAUUAUGCUAGGGAUAGAGUAUUAUAAUUAUUACUCUUUAAUAAAGAAUACCUAGUAAGUGUGUGUUAUUAGUAUAUAUUAAUUACGUCCCUACUCUUUAUAUAUACUAUCUAUUACUACUACUAAUUAAAUAGCUUAGUAAGGCUAUUAGACUAGCCUAUAGAGGUUAGUAAUAACUACUAUAAGCUAGAAAGUUAUAUAAACUUAGUUAUUUAGAGGAAGUAAAAGUUAUAAUAAAGUUUCUAUAGGUAAACCUAUAGAAG
Molecule: ribosomal RNA, 1514 nt
Filed under: Helminthosporium solani B-AC-16A
Lineage: Eukaryota; Fungi; Ascomycota; Dothideomycetes; Pleosporales; Massarinaceae
Description: SSU rRNA
Rfam family: Eukaryotic small subunit ribosomal RNA
Source: RNAcentral